RNAcentral lists this ribosomal RNA (120 nucleotides) under uncultured bacterium. RNAcentral's name for it is "partial 16S ribosomal RNA". It matches the Rfam family "Bacterial small subunit ribosomal RNA", at positions 215 to 334 of the family's 1533-position model. The record is from RNAcentral.
GCGGUGAAGGAUGAGCCCGCGGCCUAUCAGCUAGUUGGUGGGGUGAUGGCCUACCAAGGCGACGACGGGUAGCCGGCCUGAGAGGGCGACCGGCCACACUGGGACUGAGACACGGCCCAG